GGUUAAGCGACUAAGCGUACACGGUGGAUGCCCUGGCAGUCAGAGGCGAUGAAGGACGUGCUAAUCUGCGAUAAGCGUCGGUGAGGUGAUAUGAACCGUUAUAACCGGCGAUUUCCGAAUGGGGAAACCCAGUGUGUUUCGACACACUAUCAUUAACUGAAUCCAUAGGUUAAUGAGGCGAACCGGGGGAACUGAAACAUCUAAGUACCCCGAGGAAAAGAAAUCAACCGAGAUUCCCCCAGUAGCGGCGAGCGAACGGGGAGGAGCCCAGAGCCUGAAUCAGUGUGUGUGUUAGUGGAAGCGUCUGGAAAGGCGCGCGAUACAGGGUGACAGCCCCGUACACAAAAAUGCACAUAUUGUGAGCUCGAUGAGUAGGGCGGGACACGUGGUAUCCUGUCUGAAUAUGGGGGGACCAUCCUCCAAGGCUAAAUACUCCUGACUGACCGAUAGUGAACCAGUACCGUGAGGGAAAGGCGAAAAGAACCCCGGCGAGGGGAGUGAAAAAGAACCUGAAACCGUGUACGUACAAGCAGUGGGAGCCUCUUUAUGGGGUGACUGCGUACCUUUUGUAUAAUGGGUCAGCGACUUAUAUUCUGUAGCAAGGUUAACCGAAUAGGGGAGCCGAAGGGAAACCGAGUCUUAACUGGGCGUUAAGUUGCAGGGUAUAGACCCGAAACCCGGUGAUCUAGCCAUGGGCAGGUUGAAGGUUGGGUAACACUAACUGGAGGACCGAACCGACUAAUGUUGAAAAAUUAGCGGAUGACUUGUGGCUGGGGGUGAAAGGCCAAUCAAACCGGGAGAUAGCUGGUUCUCCCCGAAAGCUAUUUAGGUAGCGCCUCGUGAAUUCAUCUCCGGGGGUAGAGCACUGUUUCGGCAAGGGGGUCAUCCCGACUUACCAACCCGAUGCAAACUGCGAAUACCGGAGAAUGUUAUCACGGGAGACACACGGCGGGUGCUAACGUCCGUCGUGAAGAGGGAAACAACCCAGACCGCCAGCUAAGGUCCCAAAGUCAUGGUUAAGUGGGAAACGAUGUGGGAAGGCCCAGACAGCCAGGAUGUUGGCUUAGAAGCAGCCAUCAUUUAAAGAAAGCGUAAUAGCUCACUGGUCGAGUCGGCCUGCGCGGAAGAUGUAACGGGGCUAAACCAUGCACCGAAGCUGCGGCAGCGACACUAUGUGUUGUUGGGUAGGGGAGCGUUCUGUAAGCCUGUGAAGGUGGCCUGUGAGGGUUGCUGGAGGUAUCAGAAGUGCGAAUGCUGACAUAAGUAACGAUAAAGCGGGUGAAAAGCCCGCUCGCCGGAAGACCAAGGGUUCCUGUCCAACGUUAAUCGGGGCAGGGUGAGUCGACCCCUAAGGCGAGGCCGAAAGGCGUAGUCGAUGGGAAACAGGUUAAUAUUCCUGUACUUGGUGUUACUGCGAAGGGGGGACGGAGAAGGCUAUGUUGGCCGGGCGACGGUUGUCCCGGUUUAAGCGUGUAGGCUGGUUUUCCAGGCAAAUCCGGAAAACCAAGGCUGAGGCGUGAUGACGAGGCACUACGGUGCUGAAGCGACAAAUGCCCUGCUUCCAGGAAAAGCCUCUAAGCAUCAGGUAACAUCAAAUCGUACCCCAAACCGACACAGGUGGUCAGGUAGAGAAUACCAAGGCGCUUGAGAGAACUCGGGUGAAGGAACUAGGCAAAAUGGUGCCGUAACUUCGGGAGAAGGCACGCUGAUAUGUAGGUGAAGCGACUUGCUCGUGGAGCUGAAAUCAGUCGAAGAUACCAGCUGGCUGCAACUGUUUAUUAAAAACACAGCACUGUGCAAACACGAAAGUGGACGUAUACGGUGUGACGCCUGCCCGGUGCCGGAAGGUUAAUUGAUGGGGUUAGCGGUAACGCGAAGCUCUUGAUCGAAGCCCCGGUAAACGGCGGCCGUAACUAUAACGGUCCUAAGGUAGCGAAAUUCCUUGUCGGGUAAGUUCCGACCUGCACGAAUGGCGUAAUGAUGGCCAGGCUGUCUCCAC
Molecule: ribosomal RNA, 1999 nt
Filed under: Escherichia coli
Lineage: Bacteria; Pseudomonadati; Pseudomonadota; Gammaproteobacteria; Enterobacterales; Enterobacteriaceae
Description: partial 23S ribosomal RNA
Rfam family: Bacterial large subunit ribosomal RNA
Source: RNAcentral